RNAcentral lists this unclassified non-coding RNA (316 nucleotides) under fungal sp. Its description in RNAcentral is "partial internal transcribed spacer region". The stretch from base 1 to 46 matches the Rfam family "Eukaryotic small subunit ribosomal RNA", at positions 1786 to 1831 of the family's 1831-position model. The record is from RNAcentral. Lineage: Eukaryota; Fungi.
AAGUCGUAACAAGGUUUCCGUAGGUGAACCUGCGGAAGGAUCAUUAUUGAAUAAACCUGAUGGGUUGUAGCUGGCUCCCCUUGGGGGUAUGUGCACACCUGUCAUCUUUAUAUCUCCACCUGUGCACCCUUUGUAGACUUGAAUAUCAUUCUGAGGCAAACUCAGUUGUGAAGACUGACGCGCAUCUAGUUAUGCCGUCUUUCUUUAAACUUUCAGGUCUAUGUUUUUCAUAUACUCCUGUAUGUAACAGAAUGUUUCACUAGGCCUUGUGCCUAUAAACAAUAUACAACUUUCAGCAACGGAUCUCUUGGCUCUC